GCACAGGCCGGCCCUCUCGCGGGACUCAGUUUCCCCGUCUGCGCGCCCCACAUAUUCGCUUUCCGCAGGUUCUCUCGCUGAGAUUCGCGUCCUUCAAACUAAUGGAACUUUGCAAGGGGGCCCUGCGGCGGCUUCGCGUGGGAGCGCCGGGGAAAGUUCCUGCAAAUCGCCGGACUGGGGGCCCGCCCGGGAAGCUCGGACUGGGCCGGGCAGGGACUGCAGGGGCCUCUGCGCAGACCCGGGGCGUUGCGGCACCGCGGACCCCGGUCACGCGCUGGUUCUGCCCCCGGUACCCCGCACGCGGGACCCUGACCGCGGGGCCUCUGCGGCCGGACGAAGGCAGCGUCCGCGGAGCUGGCAGAAAGCCCGCGCCCAGACCCACAGUGAAGUGAUAAAAGCAGAGAGCAGAAAGGAGAAAACUGAGGGCCAGAAAGGGUGACUCCCCUGAGUGUCAUGCCACAAGUUGAGUGCUGGAGCCAGGACACCUUCCAAACCGGCUGUGCCUGCCUGCAAGCCCCAUCCUCCUCCAUCCCCCUGAGCAGCCAGACUGCAGAGGGAAUGAGCGGACCGAAAACAGUGUGGCCGCAACUUCCCCACUGCUUUGCGGGAGGUGGAGGGAGUUUCUAGGCUCUUUCCCUGUUGGGGAAUUAAGUAGCUGGGGAUCCCACUGAGUCUCCACCACCCUCUCACCCAUUUUCCACCCCUCCCCCACCACAUAUACAUUCUGCUCCCCCAGUGCCAAAUAACUUGCAUUUUCUGGAACACACCUGUCUGCUUACGGUCUCUGUGCCUUUCUUUGCCCACAUCUCCCCUCUUCUUGAAACACCCCUCCUCCCCUCCAGCGUGGGCUCAUGUGACCUAGAGAAGCACGUGGGAGCCCUGUCAUCUGGGGGACUUGGGUUCAAAUCCCACUUCUGGUCCUUAAGUCUGUGACUCUGGGCCUUUGUUUAAUAACUGGAGGAGUUUCAUUAGGAAAAUGGCAGUGACCACAUAUGUCCCUGGAGUGACUGAUGUGCCACCCACAAGCUUCUAUUUGGUCAGUGCUGGGUCCCAUCGUCCCAUCUAGCAUGCUCCUCUUCCAUCCUCGUGCCCCCACUCAGUGCCAUUGUCUCUGCCUCUCACCCUCUGUGCUGCUAUUCCUGCCCUCAUCACCUCCUCCCUAGGGCAGAGGCCCCGUCUUCUUUACCAUGCCCCAGUGCCAGCACAGUGCUUUGGCAAGUUAUUCAGCACUGGGGGAGUAGAGUGUAUGUGUGGUGGGGGAGGGGGUGGAGAAUGGGUAAGAGGGUGAUGGAGACUCAGGGGGACCCCCAGCUACUUAAUACCCCUGAGGAAGUGUCGGCCGAAGUGGACCCACUCCUGUGACAGUUCACAGCCUAGAAGAGGCGUCUGUAACCACGGUGACCAGUAAGUGCCAGCCCUGGGGCCACGUGGCUGUUCUAGAGAAGGAAGACAGCACUACCCUGAGAGCCAUGCUGGUGGCUUCAUCAGGAAGGGAGUCAGCAGGGGGAGGACUGGGGGACCAAGCGGUCCCUAAGAAGCAGAAUUUGCAAUACCCAAGGUUUUAGAAAGAGCAACCUGGCAGGGCCACUGCACAAUGAGAUCACAGACUCACCUCCCAGCUGUGAGUGCAGCUCACCCCACCUGCUCUGACCCAGGCACCGGUUAUGAAGAAGACAAGCAGCUCUACAGAGGGGCCUCAAGAAAUCCUUCGAAACAGAAAUCAAAGUCUUGCUGGAAGGGUUCUGGGCACCCUGGACUGUCCACAUGGGAGGCUGUUGGUGCGUGUGCCUACGUGUGUCCAUCAGUGGAUGCACGAAGAAGGAAAUGAAUUGAUUCCAUUCUUGAUGUGACUUUCAGCUGUCAGCUGUCUGCACUCCCAGACGGGGUGAUGGCCUGGCACCAACGGAGCAUUACCCUGAUGAAUCAUGGUCGAGGUACUUUUCCACUGGGCCAGCCGCCACAGCCCCUUCUCCAUCCUUCGGAGAGCUCUGUCACCUCGCCUUGUAGCACUUGUGUCUCUCCCACUGGCCUCCACUUCUUGUGGGCACUUUCUGGAUGCCCAGGCCUAAUCCAGCGCUGGCACUCAGUUAAUUCUCUCUUCCUUUAAAGGGAACAAUUACCACCUUGAGGAAGGAGGCCUGAAAGCUAAGUCUUUGCUAUUGCAUCCGCCUUCUUCUCACGAAGACCUGCAGCUUGAAAGGAGGGGAGGGAGAAAUAGCCCUAAGCUCCAGGAAGACCAAGCCCAGCCUCUGUGAUGAUUCCGAGGAAAUUCAGGAAAUCCUUGCUAAUGGCCAAACUUCCCGGGUUUGAGAUGCAAAAGGAAAUCAGAUCGCAGGGUAAUGCUUUUACACUAAGCAAGAAAUUGCAGGAUAUAAAGCUGUGCAGACCAUUGCCUCUGAUUAAGAAAGCGAUUCUGAGAUUCCAGCCUGGAAGGAACCGGGCCCCAGUGUUAACUGUGGUUAAUUCUGGGUGGAGGGGUGAUGGGUGAUAAUUUCUCCUUUUUCUUUUCUGUACUAACCAUUAAUACUGGGGGGAUGGGCAGUUAAAAAUCAAAGGAAGAAAACAUAAAGAAAGCCAAAUCCUUUUCCAUCUGUAGCCAUUCAAGCUACUGCCUGGACACGCUCUCCUUGAAGCUGGGGCUCCUCUCUCAGCCCCACCUAACAUGGCCCACCUCCUUCCUGGGGUCACUCCGUGUUCCUCAAGCACUUCAAACUCAUCCUCUCCUGCCUCUGAGCUGAGCAUAUGGGCCUCUCCCCUUCCUUUAAAAGCUCCAUCCGUGACUGCCUUCUGGGGGUCAGCCACAUAGCUGAGUGAGGACCACAUGCUUCACACCAAAUGAUACAAGAAGCUUGUUCCAAAUCUAUGUGGGUUUUUUGACAUUUUAGAGAGCAGAUGCUUUCCCAUGCUUUCUAAUUCCCUAUUACAUCUAUACAUCUCUUUUAAAAGAUCCUGCAAGUCCUUUUAGUGUCUGGACACAGGUUAUUCCCUCCCUUUCUUUUUUCCCAAUUUCACCUGCCCCAGUCCUCCUGGUCAGUGCUUCUGUUUCCUGCACAAGGAAACAGCCUUGCAAACAUGGUGAACCCUGAAAGCAUGCUGGAAAUGAAAGAAGCCAGGUACAAAAGACAACAUACUAUAUGAUUUCAUUCACAAGAAAUGUGUGUAACAGAAAAAUUUACAGAGACAGAAAAUAAAUUCCUAGUUGCUUAGGGCUGGGAGAGUGGGGUGAGGCCUCUCUACAGAGAUGGCAAUGCCCAGGAUUCAAUCUGAAGAUGUUGUUUAGAUAUCACAGCAUAGUCGGACAAUAGUGAGGACAGUCUGGCAUUGGCGUACAGAUGAACAAAUAGAUUUGUGCAAUAGAAGAAGCCAAACCAGAUUCCAGCCUACCUCCAGUCACCUGAUUUAACAAAGUCAAAGUCACAAAUCAAUAGGGAGAGGAUGGUCUUUUCAGUAAAUGAUACCGUAUCAAUUGACUCGUCAUAUACAGAACAAAAUGAACUUUGGUCCCAUACACACACAAGUCAUAAAAGUUCACUCAAAGUGAAUGAUAGACCUACAUUUGAAAACAAAAGCAAUGCAGGAUCCAGGAGAAAGGGUCCAGGCAGGAGAAUAUUUUUAUGACCUUGGACUAAGCAAGAGAUUCAUAAACAGGACACAAAACCACUAACCACCAAAAAAAAGGACUGAUAAACAUGACAAUUAAAAUGAAGAAUUUAU
RNAcentral lists this long non-coding RNA (3714 nucleotides) under Homo sapiens (human). RNAcentral's name for it is "HSALNT0360400". The record is from RNAcentral. Lineage: Eukaryota; Metazoa; Chordata; Mammalia; Primates; Hominidae.